This 468-nucleotide ribosomal RNA is filed under the name uncultured bacterium. Its description in RNAcentral is "partial 16S ribosomal RNA". It matches the Rfam family "Bacterial small subunit ribosomal RNA", at positions 28 to 507 of the family's 1533-position model. The record is from RNAcentral.
GACGAACGCUGGCGGCGUGCUUAACACAUGCAAGUCGAACGGAAAGGCCCUGCUUUUGUGGGGUGCUCGAGUGGCGAACGGGUGAGUAACACGUGAGUAACCUGCCCUUGACUUUGGGAUAACUUCAGGAAACUGGGGCUAAUACCGGAUAGGAGCUCCUGCUGCAUGGUGGGGGUUGGAAAUUUUCGGCGGUCGGGGAUGGACUCGCGGCUUAUCAGCUUGUUGGUGGGGUAGUGGCUUACCAAGGCUUUGACGGGUAGCCGGCCUGAGAGGGUGACCGGCCACAAUGGGACUGAGAUACGGCCCAGACUCCUACGGGAGGCAGCAGUGGGGAGUAUUGCACAAUGGGCGGAAGCCUGAUGCAGCAACGCCGCGUGCGGGAUGACGGCCUUCGGGUUGUAAACCGCUUUCGCCUGUGACGAAGCGUGAGUGACGGUAAUGGGUAAAGAAGCACCGGCUAACUACGUG